GAUGAACGCUGGCGGCGUGCCUAAUACAUGCAAGUCGAGCGAACAGACGAGGAGCUUGCUCCUCUGACGUUAGCGGCGGACGGGUGAGUAACACGUGGAUAACCUACCUAUAAGACUGGGAUAACUUCGGGAAACCGGAGCUAAUACCGGAUAAUAUAUUGAACCGCAUGGAUCAAUAGUGAAAGACGGUUUUGCUGUCACUUAUAGAUGGAUCCGCGCCGCAUUAGCUAGUUGGUAAGGUAACGGCUUACCAAGGCAACGAUGCGUAGCCGACCUGAGAGGGUGAUCGGCCACACUGGAACUGAGACACGGUCCAGACUCCUACGGGAGGCAGCAGUAGGGAAUCUUCCGCAAUGGGCGAAAGCCUGACGCAGCAACGCCGCGUGAGUGAUGAAGGUCUUCGGAUCGUAAAGCUCUGUUAUUAGGGAAGAAAAAAUGUGUAAGUAACUAUGCACGUCUUGACGGUACCUAAUCAGAAAGCCACGGCUAACUACGUG
Molecule: ribosomal RNA, 497 nt
Filed under: uncultured bacterium
Lineage: Bacteria
Description: partial 16S ribosomal RNA
Rfam family: Bacterial small subunit ribosomal RNA
Source: RNAcentral